GUGCAUCAGUAACAACCAGUCAAUAAAUUUUCAUGCAUCAUUGCACUGAAGUGAACCACGCUUGUAGCCUAUCCUGUGGACGUGCAAUAUAAUUCUGGAAUGCAACUACAGAUCAAAUUGUAAACCAAUGCAUUGCUUAACUUAGCACAAACCCUACAAAACCAUCUCAAUGCAUAUAUCCUACAAAGCAUGAAACCAUGUCAUAAUGCAUCAUCAAUUUACAAGCAACCAAAUGUAAUGCCAUAACUGAUCCUAUAGUGCAAUUACAAAACAACUCUUGCAACAAGUCAACCCAAUGCAGUAACACAUCAAUUCCAAACCUUCCACAUAGCCAUUCAUGAUAGAAUGCAGCCACAACAAACCAGUCUAUGAUAAAUACCAAGCAUGCGACCUGCAGUAGGCUCGUGCCCAAUAAAACAUGGCAUAUUCCAUCCUCAAUCACUAACCAUGCUAAUUGUUGCAUUCAAAUUUGAAACAAAAAACCAUGUAGUACAUUAACACAUGAGACAAGUCGGAACACAAUACAUACAAGUUACUCAAACCAAAUCAGAAGCAUUAAUAUCCAGAUCUGAAUAAAAAAGUACCAAACUGCUGCAGAAUAGUGAAACCAAAUUAAGAACCAUGUUAUGGUGCACAAGCCCUGAUGUGUUGCUAACAGAGGAAAACCAAGUGCACUUUUUAUAGAACAUAAUACUUGUUGCAAUCAUCAUGCACAUGAUCACCUGUUGCAAAAAAAAUAAGCCAAACCAUUAGCAAUGGACAACAACAUAAUUUACUCACAGAAGCAUAAUGACCUAAGUUGUAUUUCAUUACAAAUUAACCAUUCAAGCUAAGCAAUCAUCAAGCAAUUUGUCAUCAUGCAUAUGAACACCCGUAGGAAAACAACUUGACCAAGUUGUUGCAGCAAGCAAUGCACCACACUAUAUGCCUGCAGAACCAUGUUGCACCACAUCAAACCAAGUCAAAAUGAGGCAUAGCUAUGCCAAAGUGUGAUGCAUACCCUACAGGGCCAAGUUAGUAGCAGCACAAGUUAACUGACAUAACAUUAAACACCGUAUCAAUUCAACUAGCUGGCUAAUAGAACCACCUCUAAACUGAGCCAACACUAUCCAACUAACAUAACAAAACUAACAUGAUGCCACCUCACCAAAAACAUAACUAGCUAACCUAACUGUCAGCUAAUGCAUUGGAGUCAGCAAUAAUAUCUCAUAACAAACUCCAACUAAACAUAACUGAAAACUCUAACUGAUCCUCACCAAUCCCUAAGUUCCUAAAAAAACUAUAAAGCAUAAUCAUCACCUUCCCAUCCAUUUUUUAUUCAUUCAUCAUCACCAAUAACAAAACCACUUAUUCGUCAAUCGACGAUCAUUCAUCAUCCAAUCACCAAUCACUCUCUCAUCAAAAGAGGAUCAACAUCUUCAUCAUUCAUCAUCACUAAUUCAAAAGCUCUCCCUUGUUCUCUCAUUCUCAAUUUUCAUCUUCAUCAAUCACCUGCAUCAUUCAACCUGCACUUUCCCUCAACCUUCAACACUCAUAUUCCUCACUCUCCAAUCAACAACAUCUCAGAAUUAAGAAGAAAAAAAAAGGAGAAAAGAAGGAAUCAGAGUCAAGAGCGGGGAAGAAGGGAAUAAAGUCAUUACCUGGAAACAGAGGUUCCAUCAUCGUUGUCACCGUCGUCACCUUUGGCAAGGUGAAUCUCAAAAUUCCUUAUUUCAUUUAAUUCUUUGUCACCAUGAUGCAGAGAAGAGCUAUGGGAAUCGAAGCCCCAAUCCCUUGGGCUCUGAUUCUCGGGGAGAGGCGUUUAAUUUAAGAUCUUGAAAUUAGGGUUCUUGAGGAUCCCGAUUCUGUUAGUGAGUUAGGUUUAUUUUUUAUGAAAUUAACAUGAUAUUCAUGGAGAGGAGAGAGAGACAGACAAGAUGAUGGUUGAGAUUCAUGUUUUGGUGGCCACUGCCGCUGGAAGCAAUUUCCGGCGCAGUGGUCCAUGGCGAUGAGGAGAGGGAGUGUUGACCCGAGUUGAGAGUGAGUGUGGCGCGUGUUUUAUGUUGAAUUCAUUUUCAGCACCCAAUCAAUGACCCUCACAUGUGCCCUUUGACUUAGGCUUCAUGGCUUAAUGAUCCAAUUCACCAUGUGCUGAAUUCUUUUCCAUGGCCAAGUUGUUGAUGGGCCUAUG
RNAcentral lists this long non-coding RNA (2170 nucleotides) under Lathyrus oleraceus (garden pea). RNAcentral describes it as "Pisum sativum (pea) long non-coding RNA (PSAT_LNC038216)". Lineage: Eukaryota; Viridiplantae; Streptophyta; Magnoliopsida; Fabales; Fabaceae. The record is from RNAcentral.